RNAcentral lists this ribosomal RNA (1404 nucleotides) under uncultured Bordetella sp. RNAcentral's name for it is "partial 16S-23S ribosomal RNA intergenic spacer". It matches the Rfam family "Bacterial small subunit ribosomal RNA". Lineage: Bacteria; Pseudomonadati; Pseudomonadota; Betaproteobacteria; Burkholderiales; Alcaligenaceae. The record is from RNAcentral.
UUCGAUCCUGGCUCAGAUUGAACGCUGGCGGGAUGCUUUACACAUACAGGUGAACGGCGGCACGGACUUCGGUCUGGUGGCGAGUGGCGAACAGGUGAGUAAUGUAUCGGAACGUGCCUAGUAGCGGGGGAUAGCACGCGAAAGCGUAGCUGUGCAUACGCCCUUCGGGGGAAAGCGGGGGGACCUUCGGGCCUCACUGUAGAGCGGCCGAUAUCGGAUUAGCUAGUUGGUGGGGUAACGGCUCACAAAGGCGACGAUCCGUAGCUGGUUUGAGGACGAGCCAGCCACACUGGGUUGAACGGCCCGGGCUCUACAGGAGGCAGCAGUGGGGGAAUUUUGGACGAUGUGGAAACCACAGUCCAGCCAUCACGUGUUGAUGAAGAAGACUGGUUGUAAAAGCACACAGCGGAAAAACGGCGCAGGAUAAUACCCCGUGCAACUGACGGUACCUGCAGAAUAAGCACCGGCUAACUACGUGCCAGCAGCCGCGGUAAUACGUAGGGUGCAAGCGUUAAUCCAGAUUACUGGGCGUAAAGCGUUAACGGGCGACGGAAAGAAAGAUGUGAAAUCCCAGAGCUUAACUUUGGAACUGCAUUUUUAACUGAGCUGGAGUGUGUCAGGAGGUGGUCGCAUUAGUCAGUGAAAUGCGUAUGCGGAGGAACACCGAUGGCGAAGGCAGCCUCCUGGGAUAACACUGACGUGUGCACGAAAGCGUGGGGAGCAAACAGGAUUAAAUACCCUGGUAGUCCACGCCCUAAACGAUGUCAACUAGCUGUUGGGGCCUUCGGGCCUUGGUAGCGCAGCUAACAUGAAGUUGACCGCCGGAGGAACGGUUAAGAUUUGGUUUCGAAAAGGAAUUGACGGGGACCCGCCCCUGACGGUGGAUGAUGUGGAUUAAUUUUUGUAUAAAAACCUUACCUACCCUUGACAUGUGCAGAUCCCGAAGAGAUUUGGGUGCUCGCGAAGACAGAACACAGACAACAUAGCUGUCGUCAGCUCGUGUCGUGAGAUGUUGGGUUGAUCCUGGCAACGCAACCAUUGUGGGUGGCUUUGAAGGGCACUCAAUGAACUCCGGUGACAAACCGGAGGAAGGUGGGGAUGACGUCAAGUCCUCAUGGCCUGUUUUGGGAAGCCACACGUCAUACAAUGGUCGCGGGACAGAGGGUCGCCAACCCGCGAAGGGUAAUCGAGCCCGGUGUAGUCCGGAUCACCAGUCUACGCUCUCGACUGCGUGAAGUCGGAAUCGCUAGUAAUCGCGGAUCAGCAUGUCGCGGUGAAUACGUUCCCGGAGUCUUGUACACCGCCCGUCACACCAUGGGAGUGGGUUUUACCGAAGUAGUUAGCCUAACCGGCGGAGGGCGACUACCACGGUAAGUUCAUGACUGGGGGUGGGGUAACAGGUAG